This 492-nucleotide ribosomal RNA is filed under the name uncultured bacterium. Its description in RNAcentral is "partial 16S ribosomal RNA". It matches the Rfam family "Bacterial small subunit ribosomal RNA", at positions 29 to 507 of the family's 1533-position model. The record is from RNAcentral.
AGUGAACGCUGGCGGUAGGCCUAACACAUGCAAGUCGAACGGCAGCACAGUAAGAGCUUGCUCUUACGGGUGGCGAGUGGCGGACGGGUGAGGAAUACAUCGGAAUCUACUUUUUCGUGGGGGAUAACGUAGGGAAACUUACGCUAAUACCGCAUACGACCUACGGGUGAAAGCAGGGGAUCUUCGGACCUUGCGCGAUUGAAUGAGCCGAUGUCGGAUUAGCUAGUUGGCGGGGUAAAGGCCCACCAAGGCGACGAUCCGUAGCUGGUCUGAGAGGAUGAUCGGCCACACUAGAGCUGAGACACGGUCCAGACUCCUACGGGAGGCAGCAGUGGGGAAUAUUGGACAAAGGGCGCAAGCCUGAUCCAGCCAUACCGCGUGGGUGAAGAAGGCCUUCGGGUUGUAAAGCCCUUUUGUUGGGAAAGAAAAGCAGCAGGUUAAUACCCCGCUGUUCUGACGGUACCCAAAGAAUAAGCACCGGCUAACUUCGUG